GUACCUUCAAGCUCUGCUUGGUGUUGGGUGUUUGUUCCGCUGCGCGCGUGAACUCGCCUCAAAUCAAUUGGCAGCCGGCAAUCUGGUGUUUGAGCGCAGCACAUCUUGCGCUCUUCUCUAUAUUGCGGCGUCCAUAAAGCCUACAACUAUGCGC
This 154-nucleotide unclassified non-coding RNA is filed under the name uncultured Pyrenochaeta. RNAcentral's name for it is "sequence contains ITS2". Lineage: Eukaryota; Fungi; Ascomycota; Dothideomycetes; Pleosporales; Pleosporaceae. The record is from RNAcentral.